RNAcentral lists this ribosomal RNA (253 nucleotides) under uncultured bacterium. RNAcentral's name for it is "partial 16S ribosomal RNA". It matches the Rfam family "Bacterial small subunit ribosomal RNA", at positions 524 to 776 of the family's 1533-position model. The record is from RNAcentral.
UACGAAGGGGGCUAGCGUUGUUCGGAAUCACUGGGCGUAAAGGGCGCGUAGGCGGCUUUAUAAGUCGGGGGUGAAAGCCUGUGGCUCAACCACAGAAUCGCCCUCGAUACUGUAGAGCUUGAGACCGGAAGAGGUAAGUGGAACUGCGAGUGUAGAGGUGAAAUUCGUAGAUAUUCGCAAGAACACCAGUGGCGAAGGCGGCUUACUGGUCCGGUUCUGACGCUGAGGCGCGAAAGCGUGGGGAGCAAACAGG